UACGGAGGAUCCGAGCGUUAUCCGGAUUUAUUGGGUUUAAAGGGUGCGCAGGCGGGAGAUUAAGUCGGUGGUGAAAUUUUGCAGCUCAACUGUAAAAGUGCCAUUGAUACUGGUUUUCUUGAGUGUAGAUGAAGUAGGCGGAAUUUGUGGUGUAGCGGUGAAAUGCAUAGAUAUCACGAGGAACUCCGAUUGCGCAGGCAGCUUACUAAACUACUACUGACGCUCAGGCACGAAGGCGUGGGGAUCAAACAGGAUUAGAUA
This 261-nucleotide ribosomal RNA is filed under the name uncultured prokaryote. Its description in RNAcentral is "partial 16S ribosomal RNA". It matches the Rfam family "Bacterial small subunit ribosomal RNA", at positions 524 to 784 of the family's 1533-position model. The record is from RNAcentral.